GGUGACUCAGUGGUAGAGUGCUUGCCUUGCACGCAUGAAGCCCUGGGUUCAAUUCCUCAGCACCA
This 65-nucleotide transfer RNA is filed under the name Dipodomys ordii (Ord's kangaroo rat). It matches the Rfam family "tRNA". From Rfam's summary of the family: Transfer RNA (tRNA) molecules are approximately 80 nucleotides in length. Their secondary structure includes four short double-helical elements and three loops (D, anti-codon, and T loops). Lineage: Eukaryota; Metazoa; Chordata; Mammalia; Rodentia; Heteromyidae. The record is from Rfam by way of RNAcentral.